CCUGGCAGCCAUAUCACCCUGUAGCCCGAGCCUGGUUGCCCACUGAAGCUAAGCAGGGCUGAGCCUGGUCAGUACCUGGAUGGGAGACCUCCUGGGAAAACUAGGUUGCUGCUGGAA
RNAcentral lists this ribosomal RNA (117 nucleotides) under Sinocyclocheilus anshuiensis. The record is from RNAcentral. Lineage: Eukaryota; Metazoa; Chordata; Actinopteri; Cypriniformes; Cyprinidae.